AGAGUUUGAUCCUGGCUCAGAACGAACGCUGGCGGCAGGCCUAACACAUGCAAGUCGAACGAUAUAGUGGCAGACGGGUGAGUAACGCGUGGGAACGUACCUUUCACUACGGAAUAGCUCUGGGAAACUGGUGGUAAUACCGUAUACGCCCUUCGGGGGAAAGAUUUAUCGGUGAAAGAUCGGCCCGCGUUAGAUUAGGUAGUUGGUGGGGUAAUGGCCUACCAAGCCUACGAUCUAUAGCUGGUCUGAGAGGAUGAUCAGCCACACUGGGACUGAGACACGGCCCAGACUCCUACGGGAGGCAGCAGUGGGGAAUCUUGCACAAUGGGCGAAAGCCUGAUGCAGCCAUGCCGCGUGAAUGAUGAAGGCCUUAGGGUUGUAAAAUUCUUUCGCUAGGGAUGAUAAUGACAGUACCUAGUAAAGAAGCCCCGGCUAACUUCGUGCCAGCAGCCGCGGUAAUACGAAGGGGGCUAGCGUUGUUCGGAAUUACUGGGCGUAAAGCGCACGUAGGCGGACUUUUAAGUCAGAUGUGAAAUCCCGGGGCUCAACCUCGGAACUGCAUUUGAAACUGGAAGUCUGGAGUUCAGGAGAGGUUAGCGGAAUACCGAGUGUAGAGGUGAAAUUCGUAGAUAUUCGGUGGAACACCAGUGGCGAAGGCGGCUAACUGGACUGAUACUGACGCUGAGGUGCGAAAGUGUGGGGAGCAAACAGGAUUAGAUACCCUGGUAGUCCACACCGUAAACGAUGAGAGCUAGUUGUUGGCAGGCAUGCCUGUCGGUGACGCAGCUAACGCAUUAAGCUCUCCGCCUGGGGAGUACGGCCGCAAGGUUAAAACUCAAGAAAUUGACGGGGGCCCGCACAAGCGGUGGAGCAU
Molecule: ribosomal RNA, 874 nt
Filed under: uncultured bacterium
Lineage: Bacteria
Description: bacterial SSU rRNA
Rfam family: Bacterial small subunit ribosomal RNA
Source: RNAcentral